CAGGAGACAUGACAAAAAACU
RNAcentral lists this microRNA (21 nucleotides) under Oreochromis niloticus (Nile tilapia). Its description in RNAcentral is "oni-miR-10699". The record is from miRBase by way of RNAcentral. Lineage: Eukaryota; Metazoa; Chordata; Actinopteri; Cichliformes; Cichlidae.